RNAcentral lists this long non-coding RNA (2391 nucleotides) under Homo sapiens (human). RNAcentral's name for it is "long non-coding RNA NONHSAT212026.1". The record is from RNAcentral. Lineage: Eukaryota; Metazoa; Chordata; Mammalia; Primates; Hominidae.
AGUGGGAGGAAGAACUGACAAGUGAGGUUCCAGAGAGGGCAGGAGAAGAGGAGAUUCCCAUAGGGGGAUUAACACUUUCUUUUCUUUUUUCUUUCUAAGACAGGGUCUCACUCUGUCGCCCAGGCUGGAGUGCAGUGACACAAUCUUGGCUCACUGUAGUGUAGACUUCCCAGGCUCAAGGGAUUCUCCCACCCCAGACUCCCAAGUAGCUGGAACUACGGGUGUGCACCACCACCACACCUGGCUAAUGUUUCUUUUUUUGGUAGACACAGAGUCUCACUAUUUAGCGCUGAUUGGUCUCCAACUCCUGGCCUCAAGCGAUCCUCCUGCCUAGGCUUCCCAAAUUGCUGGGAUUACAGGCAUGAGCCACAAUGCCUGGCCUCUGCUAGUUCCAUAUUCUCUAGAGUUGUCUUUACUUUCUGCUAGUGUGUCCCUCAUUGUGCUGAUCCUCUGUAAAAAUUAAUACCUUUUUUUUUUUUUCGAGAUGGAGUUUCACUCUUGUUGCCCAGGCUGGAGUGCAAUGGCGCUAUGUCGGCUCAGCGCAACCUCCACCUGCCGGGUUCAAGCCUCCCGAGUAGUUGGGAUUACAGGCAUGUGCCACCAUGCCCAGCUAAUUUUGUAUUUUUAGUAGAGAUGGGGUUUCUCCAUGCUGGUCAGGCUGGUCUCCAACUCCCGACCUCAGGUGAUCUGUCUGCCUUGGCCUCCCAAAGUGCUGGGAUUACAGGCAUGAGCCAUUGUGCCUGGCCGAAAUUAAUACUUUUUAUAUUAAAUUUACAUAUAUAUACGUUUUUUCUUUUUGAUACCGGGUCUCACACUGUCACCCAGGCUGGAGUACAGUGGCACAACCUCUGCUCACUGCAGCCUCCACCUGCCAGGCUCAAGCAAUUCUCCUGCCUCAGCCUCCUGAGUAGCUGGGAUUAUAGGUAAGUGCCACCACACCCAGCUGAUUUUUGUGUUUUUUGUAGAGACGAGGUUUUGCCAUGUUUCCCAGACUGUUCUCAAACUCCUGAGCUCAAAGCAGUCCACCCAUCUUGUCCUCCCAGAGUGCUGGGAUUACAGGUGUGAGCCACCUUGCUCAUUCUAGUUUAAACUGUUGAGUGGUUUGUGUCUCCUGAUUGGACUCCUACAAAUACAGAAUUGAUGCUAGGAAGGGUACCAGGAGAUAGACGCAUACAGAUGGGAUUUGGGAAUAGGUUUGGUUAUCCAAGGAGCAGUGCUGAGCUCCUUGCUAAUGGGGUAUGGGAUGCUGGUGAUUUCCAGGAAGUGAGCUCACAAUGACUCAAGCUACCACAUAGUGUUGAUUGUGAAAUGCCAGUUGAAGCAUAUGUCCUGCGAGCUUAGGGGUGCUACAAGUUGACCACUGCAGCAGUAAAGAUGACUCUGAAGAAUGGCAUGGGAUGGAUCCUUUCGAAUGCACUUGAGCAGCGGUCUCCAACCACAGGGCCACAGAGCUGGAGCUGGAUCUACCAUGAAAGACUUCUGAAUCCAGGAAGAGAGACUGACUGGGCAACAUGUUAUUCAGGAGAUGGGGUCUCACCCUGUCACCCAGGCUUGAGUACAGUAGUGCUAUCACAGCUCACUGCAGCCUUGAACUCCUGGGCUAAGGAUCCUCCUACCUGAGCCUCCUGAGUAGCUGGGACUGGUCUCCCUCUCUUGUCCAAGGCUGGAGUGUAGUAGUGCUAUCACAGCUGACUGCAGCCUCAACCUUCCAGGCUGAAGCGAUCCUCCCAUCUCAACCUCCCACGUGGCUGAGACUAUAGGUGCUUGCCACUAUGCCCAACUAAUAUUUGGAAUUUUCCUAUACGUGGAUUCCAGAGGGGUGACAGCGAAACGUAGGACCAUCCAGUUGCAGAAAAACAAGCUUAACACGCCCACUGAUUCUACAUUAUGCCCCUACCUCCCGGCAGCCUCUCCAGGCCCAGAACUUUCUCCAGUCAGCCUCCACAGACCAAGCUCAUGACUCACAAUGGCCUAUUUAGGCCCAUACCCUACCUCACGGCAGUCUCUGCAGAUGAGGCUACUGCCUCACAACAGCCUCCACAGGCACAGCUCCACCGUUACAAUGGCCUCUUUAGACCCAGCUCCUGCCUCCCAGCCUUCUCUCCAGGCCCUGAGCUUUCUCAAGUCGACCUCACCAGGCCCAGCUCAUGCUUCUUGGCAGCCUCUCCAGGCCCAGCUCCUGCAUCUUGGCAGCCUCUCCAGGCCCAGCCUCUGCCUCCUGUCAGCCUCUACAGUCCCAACAUCUGCCUCACAGCAGAUUCUUCAGGCCCAGUAUCUGCCUCACUGUGGACCACCCAAGCCAAGCUCCCAACCUUUCAGCAGCUUCUACACACCCAGCUCCUGCCACCCAGUGGCCUCUUUAGGCCAAGCUCAUGCCUCACAAGGGCCUUU